This 567-nucleotide small RNA is filed under the name Pongo abelii (Sumatran orangutan). RNAcentral describes it as "processed transcript". Lineage: Eukaryota; Metazoa; Chordata; Mammalia; Primates; Hominidae. The record is from RNAcentral.
GAAUUAAUGACCGAAUUAAUGAGCACAUUUCCAACGGGUCACCUAGCAGCGGUAGCUGGACUCAUAUGAGACUGGUAAUGCCACUGUCAUCAAAUAUGAGGAGAAACCUCCAAAACCAGCAUUUCAGAAUGGUUCCUCAGGAUCCUUUUAUUUGAAGCCUUUGGUAUCCAGGGCUCAUGUUCACUUGCUGAAAACUCCUCCAAAAGGUCCUUCGAGAAAAAAUUUAUUUACAGCUCUUAAUGCAGUUGAAAAGAGCAGGCAAAAGAAUCCUCGAAGCUUAUGUAUCCAGACACAGACAGCUCCCGAUGUGCUGCCCCCUGAGAAAACACUUGAAUUGACGCAAUAUAAAACAAAAUGUGAAAACCAAAGUGGAUUUAUCCUGCAGCUCAAGCAGCUUCUUGCCUGUGGUAAUACCAAGUUUGAGGCAUUGACAGUUGUGAUUCAGCACCUGCUGUCUGAGCGGGAGGAAGCGCUGAAACAACACAAAACCCUAUCUCAAGAACUUGUUAACCUCCGGGGAGAGCUAGUCACUGCUUCAACCACCUGUGAGAAAUUAGAAGAAGCCAG